This is a non-coding RNA of Morus notabilis, 106 nucleotides long. The record is from Rfam. NCBI's taxonomy places the organism in Eukaryota, Viridiplantae, Streptophyta, Magnoliopsida, Rosales, Moraceae.
UAUCUGCGGUGAUGUUACAUGAAUAAAAAUACACAUGUCAGACUUCAGAGAUUUUUUUUUCAUCAAAAAAUCAAUGAGAUAGAAUAUUCAUAGAGCUGAGCAGAAA